GUCAUACACCGGGACUGACCAAUUGCCCCGAUAGGCAGGUGUUUUCGCUCUGUUGGAAGUGGUUAACAAUUUAGCUGAAGGCAGAGAGUCAGAAAGGGGAAGGAAGUGUGAAUUUUGACCCAAGGCCACAGGCUCUCCACAGUGGAAGAGGACGGGAAGGAGCUGGAGCAGGGAACCAGCAGCGCCCCCUCUCCACAGCCCUGUCUGCGGCUCCGCUCCUCUGGGUCAGGAACAGGCUGCGUGCUGGCUUCAGGCGGCGUGGCGGAGGCGGCUGGUGUCGGAUGAACCCGGAUUCGGGACGACCGAAGAAAGGUGCACCUUUGCCUCCUCCGAGCCGAGAGCUGAGAGCCACGGAGGCACAGAUUCAAUCCCUGGUCGGGGAACUAAGAUCCCAUAUGCUGUGCAAUGAGGCGAAAAAAAGAAAAAAGAAUAAUGAUGAAAAAUCCACCGACACGCAGAUUCACCUUGUAUGACUUAAAUAAAUUCAUUUGAAAAGGAAAUUUUACAUCCCUUAAUAGAAGAUGACCGUGAAAAUAACCUAGAAAAGCAAACUGGCUUCAUUAAAUUUUCACCAGGUCCAGCCCAAGGGUCCAAGCCUGGGGUCUGUUCUGUCUGUACUAAAGACACACGGAAAAAUUCCAGGGACAAAUAGAGUGAGGUAGACUUUCUCCUGGUCAAAUGCAAAGAAAACAUGUGGGAAAAGAAUGAAUAAGAGGUCAUCUCACUGUUGAAUGCCGCAUCCUGCAUGGCCUAACAUCCUCUUGUGGGAGGCGCCAUCGGAAGUGCCAUCACUGCGCCCGGCCCUGGUCGUGGAGACCACUCAUGGCGUGUGCUGAGUUCUAAUCAUGGAGGCAAAACGCUGCCUCUGACCUGCUGUGAGCCGGCCUCGACAAGUGUUUUGAAAUCGCCUAAUGACAAGUUGAUGGCUUGUGCAGGGAAUUAUUACCGUUAAUAAAAUACUAAUCACAGUAAUGGGGGUGAAUUUGGGCUGAUGAGACCUUAGUGCCUGAAGGCCGCCAAGGAUCUUUGAAAAGCAUCGUUAAAAUAAUAAUUAAAAUUGCAGCAAGAGUGAGUCAAGGUCAUGAAAGCAACUGAGGCCCCGUGGAGGAGGCCGCAGAGAAAGUCUUGGGAUCCCACCUGCCCUGCUCCAGGCAGAGGCCUGCAGGAGGCUCUUGAAGAUGAGAUAAACAGAGUUGGAAAUUUGUUGGAGGUGCUGAGGCCCCUAGUGAGAUGAUGACUUUUAAAGAUUAAUUAACUGUGGCGCUCGGUCUUCGUUGCUGUGCUUGGACUCUCUCUAGUUAUGGGGAGCAGGGGCUGCUCUUGAUGCCACGUCUGGGCUUUGCAUUUCAGGGGCUUCCCUUGUUGCGGAGAAUAGGCUCUAGGGCGCCCCGUUCCCUUGUUCUGGAGAACAGGCUCUCUACAAUUUCCGUAGUUGUGGCACGUGGUCUACAGUGCGGGCUCAGUAGCCGUGGUGCACAGACUUCAUUGCUCCGUGGCACGUAGGAUCUUCCUGGACCAGGGACUGAACUCACUGCCCACGGCACUGGCAGGCAGAUCCCUAACCGCCGGGCCACCGGGGAAGUCCCAGGAUGAUGACUUGAUGCGGGGCCUCUCGUCGGGGGCUCAUCUGAGUAAUGCGGAUAACGACACCUAUGUGCAGGAGGAGGGGCUGGACCAUAAGAGCCCUGGCGGUCCUUGUCCCCUGCUGCCAGCUCUUCUCAGCUGGGAGACGGAUCCUGGCACCCUGGUCAUUUCGCUGGCCGGGUGCUCUCCAUCUGGGAGAAAACACUUAACUCAGGGGUUGCGAACUUGCUCCCUGGGGGCCAGAUCUAGCCCUGAGAUGUGUUUUUUUUCUCACCGGUAAAGUUAAAAUUUAGAAAACAACCUUUGGGAUUUAUUACAUAUUAUGAAGUAACAAUAGCAGGCAGAAUCAUACACGGCACUUACCUUUAUAGCUCAUGAACUGUCACACAGCAGACAGCUGCAAGCGCUGGCUAGGCUGAGAGCAAAAGCCCUGCAGGCGCCCUGGACGCCCCUGGGUCCCCUCCAAUCGCUUGGCACCAUUUUAAAAAAUUCUUUAAAUGACUGUGUGAUACUGUUUUUUUCUGACACCAAACUGUGUGCUUUUCUGCCAUACCCAUUAUACAAUUCUUCAACACCAG
Long non-coding RNA from Bos taurus (domestic cattle), 2162 nucleotides. The record is from Ensembl. Lineage: Eukaryota; Metazoa; Chordata; Mammalia; Artiodactyla; Bovidae.